Molecule: long non-coding RNA, 1028 nt
Filed under: Marmota monax (woodchuck)
Lineage: Eukaryota; Metazoa; Chordata; Mammalia; Rodentia; Sciuridae
Source: RNAcentral
GGAGGCAUUAAUUAUAUAGUGUAAAAAGAAAAUAUGUUUAUAGUUGUUUUGUAGGUAGUCAAAGGAUGAUCUAAUGUACAGGAAGUACUGUGCCCAUAAUAAAGACUCAGUAAAUGUGAAUGGCUGCUGACAUUCUUUAAGACAAUGACUUACUUCUCUGCUUGCUAGUGAGUUCACAGUCUAUUGCUGCUAUGGUUUUGGCCAGUGUAAAAUAGAACAAUAUAUUGCAAGAGCAAAGUGAUUAAAGCAUCUGAACAUCUUUGUUCUAGUUCUGCCACUUUAAGGUUGAUAAGUCAUCAGAGACCAGUUCCUUUGAAAAGCCUUUCAUCCCUGCCUGGAACAGAGUUUGUUUCCCUGUGUGUCCCCUCAGUACUCUGCUCAUGCUCAUCACAGUGCUUUUUUACUCUGCAAGUCAUUACCUACUACAGAUAAAGAAAUGUAUGUAAGCAGUUGUGACUAGCAUUUCAUGAAAAAAGGAAGAGUACUGAAUAGGGCAUAUUAGCAGAGACCAGUGUGUGUCAUAAAGGAAUAGUGUUUCACAAAACAUUUGUUUCACUUAAACACAUAUUUUUAUAUAUUGGGGUGUAAUGUAAUUGUAUUUUUAUAGCAGGUCACGAUAAAAGAAAUUUUGAAAAAAACUUUAUUGUAGCACAGGUCACAUCAGAUCAUGGUUUGUCACAUUAUAAAUGAGUUCCCUUUAUUAUACUCUGCACCUCUUAGUAGGAGGAACCACAUUUCUUUCUAACACCUAGGACAGAUCUGCCUAGGACACAGUAGCUGUUCAGUAAAGUGGAAUGAAUGACCGAAUGAUAUGAAGAUCAUUUAAUUCCUCUGAACCAACCUUUCUUUUUCACAGAUUUGAAUGUCACCAUUGUAUUGGUACUAUGAGGGUUAGCUGAGAUCAGGGACAGGAACCUCCUGCUCUGUGCAGUGCUCUGUGUGCAAUGCACAUAAUCAGGAUUAUUGUCUGGCAUGAUUUUUGUUAUUGUUGAGCAAAUAAGCCUCAGGAUUUCUGAAAAUCUUAGUGU